UUUNNAUNAUGGCUCAGAUUGAACGCUGGCGGCAGGCCUAAACACAUGCAAGUCGAGCGGCAGCACGGGUACUUGUACCYGGUGGCGAGCGGCGGACGGGUGAGUAAUGCCUAGGAAUCUGCCUGGUAGUGGGGGAUAACGCUCGGAAACGGACGCUAAUACCGCAUACGUCCUACGGGAGAAAGCAGGGGACCUUCGGGCCUUGCGCUAUCAGAUGAGCCUAGGUCGGAUUAGCUAGUUGGUGAGGUAAUGGCUCACCAAGGCGACGAUCCGUAACUGGUCUGAGAGGAUGAUCAGUCACACUGGAACUGAGACACGGUCCAGACUCCUACGGGAGGCAGCAGUGGGGAAUAUUGGACAAUGGGCGAAAGCCUGAUCCAGCCAUGCCGCGUGUGUGAAGAAGGUCUUCGGAUUGUAAAGCACUUUAAGUUGGGAGGAAGGGCAUUAACCUAAUACGUUAGUGUUUUGACGUUACCGACAGAAUAAGCACCGGCUAACUCUGUGCCAGCAGCCGCGGUAAUACAGAGGGUGCAAGCGUUAAUCGGAAUUACUGGGCGUAAAGCGCGCGUAGGUGGUUCGUUAAGUUGGAUGUGAAAUCCCCGGGCUCAACCUGGGAACUGCAUUCAAAACUGACGAGCUAGAGUAUGGUAGAGGGUGGUGGAAUUUCCUGUGUAGCGGUGAAAUGCGUAGAUAUAGGAAGGAACACCAGUGGCGAAGGCGACC
RNAcentral lists this ribosomal RNA (723 nucleotides) under Pseudomonas sp. S1f-2. RNAcentral describes it as "bacterial SSU rRNA". It matches the Rfam family "Bacterial small subunit ribosomal RNA", at positions 12 to 726 of the family's 1533-position model. Lineage: Bacteria; Pseudomonadati; Pseudomonadota; Gammaproteobacteria; Pseudomonadales; Pseudomonadaceae. The record is from RNAcentral.